This 301-nucleotide ribosomal RNA is filed under the name uncultured bacterium. Its description in RNAcentral is "partial 16S ribosomal RNA". It matches the Rfam family "Bacterial small subunit ribosomal RNA", at positions 509 to 807 of the family's 1533-position model. The record is from RNAcentral.
CAGCAGCCGCGGGAAUACGUAGGGCCCGAGCGUUGUCCGGAAUCAUUGGGCGUAAAGCGCGUGUAGGCGGCUUGGUAAGUUAGAGGUGAAAGCCUGGAGCUCAACUCCAGAAUUGCCUUUAAGACUGCCGAGCUAGCAGGUGAGAGAGGUAAGUGGAAUUCCGAGUGUAGAGGUGAAAUUCGUAGAUAUUCGGAAGAACACCAGUGGCGAAGGCGGCUUACUGGCUCAUACUGGACGCUGAGGUGCGAAAGCGUGGGGAGCAAACAGGAUUAGAUACCCCGGUAGUCCCUGUCUCUUAUAC